Molecule: transfer RNA, 85 nt
Filed under: Felis catus (domestic cat)
Lineage: Eukaryota; Metazoa; Chordata; Mammalia; Carnivora; Felidae
Also listed under: 3 other names
Rfam family: tRNA
About the family: Transfer RNA (tRNA) molecules are approximately 80 nucleotides in length. Their secondary structure includes four short double-helical elements and three loops (D, anti-codon, and T loops).
Source: Rfam by way of RNAcentral
ACCUGGGUCGCUCAGUCGGUCGAGCGUCUGACUUCGGCUCAGGUCCUGAUCUCGCGGUUCGUGAGUUCGAGCCCUGCCCUGGGCU